GGGUUGUGAGGUUAAGCGACUAAGCGUACACGGUGGAUGCCCUGGCAGUCAGAGGCGAUGAAGGACGUGCUAAUCUGCGAAAAGCGUCGGUAAGGUGAUAUGAACCGUUACAGCCGGCGAUGUCCGAAUGGGGAAACCCAGUGUGAUUCGUCACACUAUCGUUAACUGAAUACAUAGGUUAACGAGGCGAACCGGGGGAACUGAAACAUCUAAGUACCCCGAGGAAAAGAAAUCAACCGAGAUUCCCCCAGUAGCGGCGAGCGAACGGGGAGCAGCCCAGAGUCUGAAUCAGCUUGUGUGUUAGUGGAACGGUCUGGAAAGUCCGACGGUACAGGGUGAUAGUCCCGUACACCAAAAUGCACAGGCUGUGAACUCGAAGAGUAGGGCGGGACACGUGGUAUCCUGUCUGAAUAUGGGGGGACCAUCCUCCAAGGCUAAAUACUCCUGACUGACCGAUAGUGAACCAGUACCGUGAGGGAAAGGCGAAAAGAACCCCGGCGAGGGGAGUGAAAAAGAACCUGAAACCGUGUACGUACAAGCAGUGGGAGCACGCUUCGGCGUGUGACUGCGUACCUUUUGUAUAAUGGGUCAGCGACUUAUAUUCUGUAGCAAGGUUAACCGUAUAGGGGAGCCGCAGGGAAACCGAGUCUUAACUGGGCGUUAAGUUGCAGGGUAUAGACCCGAAACCCGGUGAUCUAGCCAUGGGCAGGUUGAAGGUUGGGUAACACUAACUGGAGGACCGAACCGACUAAUGUUGAAAAAUUAGCGGAUGACUUGUGGCUGGGGGUGAAAGGCCAAUCAAACCGGGAGAUAGCUGGUUCUCCCCGAAAGCUAUUUAGGUAGCGCCUCGUGAAUUCAUCUUCGGGGUAGAGCACUGUUUCGGCUAGGGGGUCAUCCCGACUUACCAACCCGAUGCAAACUACGAAUACCGAAGAAUGUUAUCACGGGAGACACACGGCGGGUGCUAACGUCCGUCGUGAAGAGGAAACAACCCAGACCGCCAGCUAAGGUCCCAAAGUCAUGGUUAAGUGGGAAACGAUGUGGGAAGGCACAGACAGCCGUGAUGUUGGCUUAGAAGCAGCCAUCAUUUAAAGAAAGCGUAAUAGCUCACUGGUCGAGUCGGCCUGCGCGGAAGAUGUAACGGGGCUAAACCAUGCACCGAAGCUGCGGCAGCGACACUAUGUGUUGUUGGGUAGGGGAGCGUUCUGUAAGCCUGCGAAGGUGACCUGUGAGGGUUGCUGGAGGUAUCAGAAGUGCGAAUGCUGACAUAAGUAACGAUAAAGCGGGUGAAAAGCCCGCUCGCCGGAAGACCAAGGGUUCCUGUCCAACGUUAAUCGGGGCAGGGUGAGUCGACCCUAAGGCGAGGCCGAAAGGCGUAGUCGAUGGGAAACAGGUUAAUAUUCCUGUACUUGGUGUUACUGCGAAGGGGGGACGGAGAAGGCUAUGUUAGCCGGGCGACGGUUGUCCCGGUUUAAGCAUGUAGGCUGGUUGUCCAGGCAAAUCCGGAUAAUCAAGGCUGAGGUGUGAUGACGAGGCACUACGGUGCUGAAGUAACAAAUGCCCUGCUUCCAGGAAAAGCCUCUAAGCAUCAGGUAACAUCAAAUCGUACCCCAAACCGACACAGGUGGUCAGGUAGAGAAUACCAAGGCGCUUGAGAGAACUCGGGUGAAGGAACUAGGCAAAAUGGUGCCGUAACUUCGGGAGAAGGCACGCUGGUGUGUAGGUGAAGUCCCUCGCGGAUGGAGCUGAGACCAGUCGAAGAUACCAGCUGGCUGCAACUGUUUAUUAAAACACAGCACUGUGCAAACACGAAAGUGGACGUAUACGGUGUGACGCCUGCCCGGUGCCGGAAGGUUAAUUGAUGGGGUUACCGUAAGAGAAGCUCUUGAUCGAAGCCCCGGUAAACGGCGGCCGUAACUAUAACGGUCCUAAGGUAGCGAAAUUCCUUGUCGGGUAAGUUCCGACCUGCACGAAUGGCGUAAUGAUGGCCAGGCUGUCUCCACCCGAGACUCAGUGAAAUUGAACUCGCUGUGAAGAUGCAGUGUACCCGCGGCAAGACGGAAAGACCCCGUGAACCUUUACUAUAGCUUGACACUGAACAUUGAGCCUUGAUGUGUAGGAUAGGUGGGAGGCUUUGAAGCGUGGACGCCAGUCUGCGUGGAGCCAACCUUGAAAUACCACCCUUUAAUGUUUGAUGUUCUAACGUUGGCCCCUUACCGGGGUUGCGGACAGUGUCUGGUGGGUAGUUUGACUGGGGCGGUCUCCUCCCAAAGCGUAACGGAGGAGCACGAAGGUUAGCUAAUCCUGGUCGGACAUCAGGAGGUUAGUGCAAUGGCAUAAGCUAGCUUGACUGCGAGCGUGACGGCGCGAGCAGGUGCGAAAGCAGGUCAUAGUGAUCCGGUGGUUCUGAAUGGAAGGGCCAUCGCUCAACGGAUAAAAGGUACUCCGGGGAUAACAGGCUGAUACCGCCCAAGAGUUCAUAUCGACGGCGGUGUUUGGCACCUCGAUGUCGGCUCAUCACAUCCUGGGGCUGAAGUAGGUCCCAAGGGUAUGGCUGUUCGCCGAUUUAAAGUGGUACGCGAGCUGGGUUUAGAACGUCGUGAGACAGUUCGGUCCCUAUCUGCCGUGGGCGCUGGAGAAUUGAGGGGGCUGCUCCUAGUACGAGAGGACCGGAGUGGACGCAUCACUGGUGUUCGGGUUGUCAUGCCAAUGGCACUGCCCGGUAGCUAAAUGCGGAAGAGAUAAGUGCUGAAAGCAUCUAAGCACGAAACUUGCCCCGAGAUGAGUUCUCCCUGAGACUUUAAGUCUCCUGAAGGAACGUUAAAGACGAUGACGUUGAUAGGCCGGGUGUGUAAGCGCAGCGAUGCGUUGAGCUAACCGGUACUAAUGAACCGUGAGGCUUAACCUUACAACGCCGAAG
This 2920-nucleotide ribosomal RNA is filed under the name Klebsiella pneumoniae. Its description in RNAcentral is "23S ribosomal RNA". It matches the Rfam family "Bacterial large subunit ribosomal RNA". Lineage: Bacteria; Pseudomonadati; Pseudomonadota; Gammaproteobacteria; Enterobacterales; Enterobacteriaceae. The record is from RNAcentral.